GGAGUGACGCAAUGGGUAGCGUAGUAGCCUUCCAAGCUGCAAGUUGCAAGUUCAAAUCUCGCCUUUGCCA
RNAcentral lists this transfer RNA (70 nucleotides) under Anaerolineae bacterium. Its description in RNAcentral is "tRNA-Gly". It matches the Rfam family "tRNA". From Rfam's summary of the family: Transfer RNA (tRNA) molecules are approximately 80 nucleotides in length. Their secondary structure includes four short double-helical elements and three loops (D, anti-codon, and T loops). Lineage: Bacteria; Bacillati; Chloroflexota; Anaerolineae. The record is from RNAcentral.